GACGAACCGUGCGAACGUUAUUCGGAAUCACUGGGCUUGAAGGGCGCGUAGGCGGGUUCCCAAGUCAGGGGUGAAAUCCCACGGCCCAACCGUGGAAGUGCCUUUGAUACUGGGGAUCUCGAGGGAGGUAGGGGCGUGCGGAACUCAGGGUGGAGCGGUGAAAUGCGUAGAUAUCCUGAGGAACACCGGUGGCGAAAGCGGCGCGCUGGACCUCUUCUGACGCUGAGGCGCGAAAGCCAGGGGAGCAAACGGG
Molecule: ribosomal RNA, 253 nt
Filed under: uncultured bacterium
Lineage: Bacteria
Description: partial 16S ribosomal RNA
Rfam family: Bacterial small subunit ribosomal RNA
Source: RNAcentral